UGGACAUUUAUUUUUAUUCAGUUUCUUCUCAAGGUGAAGGUAACUGUUUGUAAAUGUCCUAAAGAAACAUGAUAGCUUUCUGUUCACCCUUUGCAAGAAAAAAGCGUGGAUCAUUUCACCGCUGACAUUU
Non-coding RNA from Colobus angolensis palliatus, 130 nucleotides. The record is from Ensembl. NCBI's taxonomy places the organism in Eukaryota, Metazoa, Chordata, Mammalia, Primates, Cercopithecidae.